Molecule: ribosomal RNA, 502 nt
Filed under: uncultured bacterium
Lineage: Bacteria
Description: partial 16S ribosomal RNA
Rfam family: Bacterial small subunit ribosomal RNA
Source: RNAcentral
AGCGAACGCUGGCGGCGUGCCUAACACAUGCAAGUCGAACGUGAAAGGGAGCAAUCCCCAGUAAAGUGGCGUACGGGUGAGUAACACGUAGGUAAUCUACCCCAGAAUCUGGAAUAGCCGGCCGAAAGGCUGGCUAAUACUGGAUAGAGCGACGGAAUCCGUAAUUGGGUUUUUCGGGAAAGGGAGCCUGUAAAAAGGCCUUCGUUCUGGGAUGAGCCUGCGUCCCAUCAGCUAGUUGGUGAGGUAAAAGCUUACCAAGGCAAUGACGGGUAGCUGGUCUGAGAGGACGAUCAGCCACACUGGAACUGAAACACGGUCCAGACUCCUACGGGAGGCAGCAGUGGGGAAUCUUGCGCAAUGGACGAAAGUCUGACGCAGCAACGCCGCGUGAGUGAAGAAGGCCUUCGGGUUGUAAAGCUCUGUCGAGUGGGACGAAAAUGCUUGGAGUUCACAGCUCCAGGAACUGACGGUACCACUAAAGGAAGCACCGGCUAACUCCGUG